ACGCCAACUUGCACGCAUCGUACAUUUCCUUUAAUAGCUGUGGGUAUAACUUUUGCCAACGGAGGCUCGUGCUAUUUCGCAGAAUUUCACACAUUAAUCUGAUUGCAAAACUAUUGUCAAUUCUAAUGCAAUUAAAUUUAACGAUACAGACGGCGGCCUGGCAAUUAAAGUAAAAGCAAAAGUUUUUCUCAAUCAACGUCAGCUGGACUUCACACAAAAAAAAAA
Molecule: small RNA, 225 nt
Filed under: Drosophila virilis
Lineage: Eukaryota; Metazoa; Arthropoda; Insecta; Diptera; Drosophilidae
Description: GJ26337
Source: RNAcentral